RNAcentral lists this ribosomal RNA (254 nucleotides) under uncultured bacterium. RNAcentral's name for it is "partial 16S ribosomal RNA". It matches the Rfam family "Bacterial small subunit ribosomal RNA", at positions 524 to 776 of the family's 1533-position model. The record is from RNAcentral.
CACGUAGGGGGCAAGCGUUGUCCGGAAUCAUUGGGCGUAAAGAGCUCGUAGGCGGCUCAAUAAGUCGGGUGUGAAACCCCCAGGCUCAACCUGGGGACGCCACCCGAUACUGUUGUGGCUAGAGUCCAGUAGGGGAGUGUGGAAUUCCCGGUGUAGCGGUGAAAUGCGCAGAUAUCGGGAGGAACACCAGCGGCGAGGGCGGCACUCUGGGCUGGUACUGACGCUGAGGAGCGAAAGCGUGGGUAGCAAACAGG